AUACGGAGGGGGUUAGCGUUGUUCGGAAUUACUGGGCGUAAAGCGCACGUAGGCGGACUGGAAAGUUGGGGGUGAAAUCCCGGGGCUCAACCCCGGAACUGCCUCCAAAACUUCCAAUCUAGAGAUCGAGAGAGGUGAGUGGAAUUCCAAGUGUAGAGGUGAAAUUCGUAGAUAUUUGGAGGAACACCAGUGGCGAAGGCGGCUCACUGGCCCGAUACUGACGCUGAGGCGCGAAAGCGUGGGGAGCAAACAGGAGUAGAAACCCCAGUAGUCC
This 274-nucleotide ribosomal RNA is filed under the name uncultured bacterium. RNAcentral describes it as "partial 16S ribosomal RNA". It matches the Rfam family "Bacterial small subunit ribosomal RNA", at positions 523 to 796 of the family's 1533-position model. The record is from RNAcentral.